This 327-nucleotide ribosomal RNA is filed under the name uncultured eukaryote. RNAcentral's name for it is "partial 18S ribosomal RNA". It matches the Rfam family "Eukaryotic small subunit ribosomal RNA", at positions 1470 to 1796 of the family's 1831-position model. The record is from RNAcentral.
CCCUUAGAUGUUCUGGGCCGCACGCGUGCUACACUGACCGGCGCAACAAGCUUUUUUCCUUGGCUCGACAGGCCUGGGUAAUCUUCGAACGCCGGUCGUGAUGGGGAUAGAUCCUUGCAAUUUUUGAUCUUCAACGAGGAAUUCCUAGUAAAUGCGAGUCAUCAUCUCGCGUUGAUUACGUCCCUGCCCUUUGUACACACCGCCCGUCGCACCUACCGAUUGAAUGGUCCGGUGAAGCCUCGGGAUUGUGAUGAGUCUCCUUUAUUGGGGGUUCGUCGUGAGAACUUGUCUAAACCUUAUCAUUUAGAGGAAGGUGAAGUCGUANCA